ACGCAAGGGCACUCUAAUGAGACUGCCGGUGACAAACCGGAGGAAGGUGGGGAUGACGUCAAGUCCUCAUGGCCCUUAUGGUAGGGCUUCACACGUCAUACAAUGGUCGGUACAGAGGGUUGCCAAGCCGCGAGGCGGAGCCAAUCCCACAAAGCCGAUCGUAGUCCGGAUUGUUCUCUGCAACUCGAGAGCAUGAAGUCGGAAUCGCUAGUAAUCGCAGGUCAGCAUACUGCGGUGAAUACGUUCCCGGGUCUU
RNAcentral lists this ribosomal RNA (255 nucleotides) under uncultured Thiobacillus sp. RNAcentral's name for it is "partial 16S ribosomal RNA". It matches the Rfam family "Bacterial small subunit ribosomal RNA", at positions 1127 to 1382 of the family's 1533-position model. The record is from RNAcentral. Lineage: Bacteria; Pseudomonadati; Pseudomonadota; Betaproteobacteria; Nitrosomonadales; Thiobacillaceae.